RNAcentral lists this ribosomal RNA (253 nucleotides) under uncultured bacterium. RNAcentral's name for it is "partial 16S ribosomal RNA". It matches the Rfam family "Bacterial small subunit ribosomal RNA", at positions 524 to 776 of the family's 1533-position model. The record is from RNAcentral.
UACGUAGGGUGCGAGCGUUGUUCGGAUUCACUGGGCGUAAAGGGUGCGUAGGUGGUGAGGUAAGUCGGAUGUGAAAGCUCGGAGCUCAACUCCGAAAUGGCAUUGGAAACUACCUUGCUCGAGGGUUGGAGGGGGGACUGGAAUGCUUGGUGUAGCAGUGAAAUGCGUAGAUAUCAAGCGGAACACCAGUGGCGAAGGCGAGUCCCUGGACAACUCCUGACACUGAGGCACGAAAGCUAGGGGAGCAAACAGG